This 460-nucleotide ribosomal RNA is filed under the name uncultured bacterium. RNAcentral's name for it is "partial 16S ribosomal RNA". It matches the Rfam family "Bacterial small subunit ribosomal RNA", at positions 338 to 795 of the family's 1533-position model. The record is from RNAcentral.
CCUACGGGAGGCAGCAGUGAGGAAUAUUGGUCAAUGGACGCAAGUCUGAACCAGCCAAGCCGCGUGCAGGACGACGGCCCUAUGAGUUGUAAACUGCUUUUGUACGAGGGUAAACGCAGAUACGCGUAUCUGUCUGAAAGUAUCGUACGAAUAAGGGUCGGCUAACUCCGUGCCAGCCGCCGCGGUAAUACGGAGGAUUCAAGCGUUAUCCGGAUUUAUUGGGUUUAAAGGGUGCGUAGGCGGGAGGAUAAGUUAGAGGUGAAAUCCCGAGGCUUAACUUCGGAAUUGCCUCUGAUACUGUUCGGCUAGAGAGUAGUAGCGGUAGGCGGAAUGUAUGGUGUAGCGGUGAAAUGCUUAGAGAUCAUACAGAACACCGAUUGCGAAGGCAGCUUACCAGGCUACUUCUGACGUUGAGGCACGAAAGCGUGGGUAGCAAACAGGAUUAGAUACCCCUGUAGUC